RNAcentral lists this long non-coding RNA (1390 nucleotides) under Pan troglodytes (chimpanzee). RNAcentral describes it as "lncRNA (ENSPTRG00000053717.1)". Lineage: Eukaryota; Metazoa; Chordata; Mammalia; Primates; Hominidae. The record is from RNAcentral.
UAUUUAAAAAUAAUAAAAUAUAUCAAUUAUUUAUAUAGCUUUACAUUGUAUUAGGUAUUAUAAAUAAUCUACAGAUGAUUUAAAGCAGGGAUGUCCAAUCUUUUGGCUUCCCUGGGCCACUUUGGAAGAAGAAUUGUCUUGGGCCACACAUAAAAUACACUAAUUAUAGCUGUUGAGGUAAAAAUAAAAAUCACAAAAAAAAACCUCAAUGUUUUAAGAAAGUUUAUGAAUUUUUGUUGGGCUGUAUUCAAAGCCAUCCUGGGCCACAGGUUGGACAUUCUUGAUUUAAAAUAUACAGGAGGGGCUGAGGCAGUGCCUCAUGCCUGUAAUCCCAGCACUUUGGGAGGCCCAGGCGGGCAGAUCAUUUGAGGCCAGGAGUUCAAGACCACCCUGGCCAACAUGGCGAAACCCGUCGCUACUAAAAAUACAAAAAUUAGCUGGGUAUGGUGGUGCACACUUAUAAUCUCAGCUACUAAGGUGGCUGAGGCAGGAGAAUCACUUGAACCUGGGAGGCGGAGGUUACAGUGAGCUGAGAUAGUGCCAGUACACUCCAGACUGGGCGACAGAGUGAGACUUUGUCUCAAUAAAUAAAUAAAUAAAUAGUAUACAGAAGGAUGUGCAUAGGUUAUGUGCAAAUACUAUGCCGUUUUGUAUUAGGUACUUGAGCAUCCCCAGAUUUUGGUAUCUAUGGGAAUCCUGGAACCAAUCCCCCACUGGUGCUGAGGGAUCAGACUGUACAUCUGAUUGCCCAGUGUCUCCACCAUGCCAUUGGAGUCUGUUCCUCCAGUUACAGUUGAGAAACAAGUGAGUCUCGUGGAAAGGGACAAAAACCUGAAUGAGAUGCCUCUACCCAGGGAGGGACUGAAAUUGAUCACAAAGUGUCUCCUCCAAGAAGCUGGAAGCUUGUUAGAACUAUUCAUGAAAAAUAAUUCUAUGAGUGUUUUCCUUUAAGUUCCAAAGACAACCUGGAAGGGAAAAGGGACCCUUCGAGAAAGUUCCAGGAAAAAAACCACUCCCAAAAAGACUACCACUUCAAGAAAACCCGAGGAAGGGAAUGGGCCAGCACUAUCCAGCCACUAUGACCAGCUGAAUAGGAAACUCACUCAAAAUGAGCCAUAGCAGGACCAAGUUAGCCAGGAGACCUCCACAAUCUCCAGCGUCUCCCUGGACAGCCAGUAAUUUCAAGGCAAGUUCAGAGGCCUAGAUCUAUCUGAGAGGUCUCCAGAGAUCUGACCCCAGAGAACUAGCUAGCAGGGUCUAGGAUACAUUCUAUACCCCACAGGGUACGCCCCAUGGUGAUGAAAAUAAAAUGAAUCUGUUGUAAAAUGAUGUGAGUGUCUUCAUGUUCUAGGAUGGUGGGGAGGGAGGAAGGAGGGAAGAGGUGGUGUGU